Molecule: ribosomal RNA, 460 nt
Filed under: uncultured bacterium
Lineage: Bacteria
Description: partial 16S ribosomal RNA
Rfam family: Bacterial small subunit ribosomal RNA
Source: RNAcentral
CCUACGGGAGGCAGCAGUGAGGAAUAUUGGUCAAUGGACGAGAGUCUGAACCAGCCAAGUAGCGUGAAGGAUGACUGCCCUAUGGGUUGUAAACUUCUUUUAUAUGGGAAUAAAAUGUUCCACGUGUGGGAUUUUGUAUGUACCAUAUGAAUAAGGAUCGGCUAACUCCGUGCCAGCAGCCGCGGUAAUACGGAGGAUCCGAGCGUUAUCCGGAUUUAUUGGGUUUAAAGGGAGCGUAGGUGGAUUGUUAAGUCAGUUGUGAAAGUUUGCGGCUCAACCGUAAAAUUGCAGUUGAAACUGGCAGUCUUGAGUACAGUAGAGGUAGGCGGAAUUCGUGGUGUAGCGGUGAAAUGCUGAGAUAUCACGAAGAACUCCGAUUGCGAAGGCAGUUCACUGAACUGCAACUGACACUGAGGCUCGAAAGUGUGGGUAUCAAACAGGAUUAGAUACCCUGGUAGUC